This is a long non-coding RNA of Olea europaea var. sylvestris, 519 nucleotides long. RefSeq lists it as uncharacterized. NCBI's taxonomy places the organism in Eukaryota, Viridiplantae, Streptophyta, Magnoliopsida, Lamiales, Oleaceae. The transcript is spliced from 2 exons. The record is from RefSeq and is a predicted model, not a curated record.
UCUUGCUUUCACCAAGAAUACAAUCUUGAGUAGAAAUGGAUGCCCCUCCAGCAUAUCAAGUAAUGAAUGCAUCUCGAGAGCCAUCAAGUGCCUAUGAUCAUAUUCAAUUACGCCGCGAACAAAAAGGCGGUACUUAUGCUUGCUUGUUUGCUUUGUGUUGCUGUUUCUGUUGCAUCGAGACUUGUGAAUGCUGCUUGGAGAACUUAUGCUGCUGUAGGUUCCUCUGGGGUAGGAAAGAACCACUUCUAACAUAGGAUACUACUACCAUUUAAGAAUGAAAAGAAGUAGACUACUCUUGAGUUUUGUGUGAGAGCCUAGCUAGAGGAUUGAUGCUUUGGUAAAAAAUGGUAUUCUGAGUUUGAAGUUUCAGUAAACUACUAUGUUUAUUCUCCUUGUUUUUGAUUAAUUAGAGGUCAGGUCGAGCCUCCCUCUUAAAUUGUACUUUAUUUUAAUAUUUUCAAAUAAAUUGUGUCACCGAAAGUGGUUCUAUGAAAAGGAAAAGUGACUAUGUUUGCUCUU